This 861-nucleotide ribosomal RNA is filed under the name Curvularia sp. Its description in RNAcentral is "partial large subunit ribosomal RNA". It matches the Rfam family "Eukaryotic large subunit ribosomal RNA", at positions 78 to 957 of the family's 3401-position model. Lineage: Eukaryota; Fungi; Ascomycota; Dothideomycetes; Pleosporales; Pleosporaceae. The record is from RNAcentral.
CCCUAGUAACGGCGAGUGAAGCGGCAACAGCUCAAAUUUGAAAUCUGGCUCUUUUAGAGUCCGAGUUGUAAUUUGCAGAGGGCGCUUUGGCUUUGGCAGCGGUCCAAGUUCCUUGGAACAGGACGUCACAGAGGGUGAGAAUCCCGUACGUGGUCGCUAGCUAUUGCCGUGUAAAGCCCCUUCGACGAGUCGAGUUGUUUGGGAAUGCAGCUCUAAAUGGGAGGUAAAUUUCUUCUAAAGCUAAAUAUUGGCCAGAGACCGAUAGCGCACAAGUAGAGUGAUCGAAAGAUGAAAAGCACUUUGGAAAGAGAGUCAAACAGCACGUGAAAUUGUUGAAAGGGAAGCGCUUGCAGCCAGACUUGCUUGCAGUUGCUCAUCCGGGCUUUUGCCCGGUGCACUCUUCUGCAGGCAGGCCAGCAUCAGUUUGGGCGGUGGGAUAAAGGUCUCUGACACGUUCCUUCCUUCGGGUUGGCCAUAUAGGGGAGACGUCAUACCACCAGCCUGGACUGAGGUCCGCGCAUCUGCUAGGAUGCUGGCGUAAUGGCUGUAAGCGGCCCGUCUUGAAACACGGACCAAGGAGUCUAACAUCUAUGCGAGUGUUUGGGUGUCAAGCCCGAGCGCGUAAUGAAAGUGAACGGAGGUGGGAACCCGCAAGGGUGCACCAUCGACCGAUCCUGAAGUUUACGGAAGGAUUUGAGUAAGAGCAUGGCUGUUGGGACCCGAAAGAUGGUGAACUAUGCUUGAAUAGGGUGAAGCCAGAGGAAACUCUGGUGGAGGCUCGCAGCGGUUCUGACGUGCAAAUCGAUCGUCAAAUUUGGGCAUAGGGGCGAAAGACUAAUCGAACUAUCUAGUAGCUGGUUC